GGUUUGAUUCUGAAAUAAGUUGAACGCUGGCCGGGAUGCUUUACACAUGCAAGUCAGGCAGCACGGACUUCGGUCUGGUGGCGAGUGGCGAACGGAGGCGUGUGUAUCGGAACGUGCCUAGUAAUGGCGGGGAUAACUACGCGAAAGCGUAGCCUAAUGCCGCAUACGCCCUUCGGGGAAAGCGGGGGACCUUCGGGCCUCGCACUAUUAGAGCGGCCGAUAUCGGAUUAGCUGGUUGGUGGGAGAUAACGGCUCACCAAAGGCGACGUCGUAAGCUGGUUUUGAAGGACGACCAGCCACACUGGGACUGGAACGGCGGGCGCUCCUACGGGAGGCAGCAGUGAAAUUUUGGACAAUGGGGGAAACCCUGAUCCAGCCAUCCCGCGUGUGCGAUGAAGGCCUUCGGGUUGUAAAGCACUUUUGGCAGGAAAGCGGCCUGGAUAAUACCCCGUGCAACUGACGUACCUGCAGAAUAAGCACCGGCCUAACCCGUGCCAGCAACCAGCGAAAGUAAUACGUAGGGUGUGUAAGCGUUAAUCAGGUACUGGGCGUAAAGAAAGCGUGCGCAGGCGGUUCGAAGAAGAUCUUGAAAUCCCAGAGCUUAGCACUAGAGUGCAUUUUUAACUACCGAACAGAGUGUAUAAGAGGAGGUGGAGUUACAUGUGUAGCAGUGAAAUGCGUAGAUAUGCGGAGGGACACCGAUGGCGAAAGCAGCCUCCUGGGAUAACACUGACGCUCAUUGCACGAAAGCGUGGGGAGCAAGCAGUUAGAUACACCUGUUGGUCCCGCCCUAAACGAUGUCAAUAGCUGUUGAAAUUCGAGGCCUUGGUAGCGCAGCUAACGCGUGAAGUUGACCGCCCGAGAGUACGGUCGCAAGAUUACAAAACUCAAAAAGUUGGGCAGGGAUUCCGCACAAGCGGUGGAUGAUGUGGAUUAAUUCGGUGCAACGCGAGAACCUUACCUACCCUUGACAUGUCUGGAAUCCCGAAGAGAUUUAGGUGCUCGCAAGGGAACCGGAACACAGGUGCUGCAUGGCUGUCGUCAGCUCGUGUCGUGAGAUGUUGGGUUAAGUCCCGCAACGAGCGCAGCCGCGUCAUUGGUUCGCUACGAAAGGGCACUCUAAUGAGACUGCCGGUGAUAAACCGGAGGAAGGUGGGGAUGACGUCAAGUCCUCAUGGCCCUUAUGGUGGGGCUUCACACGUCAUACAGUGGUCGGGACAGAGAUCGCCAACCCGCGAAGAGGGAGCCCGUCAGAAACCCGAUCGUAGUCAGGAUCGCAGUCUGCAGCCUCAACUGCGUGAAGUCGGAAUCGCUAGUAAUCGCGGAUCGGCAUGUCUGCGGUGAUACGUUCCCAAGGUGCUUGUACACACCGCCCGUCACACCAUGGAAUUGGGUUUUGCCCAGUAGUUAGCUAACCGUAAGGAGGGCGAUUACCACGGUAGGAUUCAUGACUGGGGUGAAGUCGUAAUAAGGUAG
Molecule: ribosomal RNA, 1476 nt
Filed under: uncultured Bordetella sp.
Lineage: Bacteria; Pseudomonadati; Pseudomonadota; Betaproteobacteria; Burkholderiales; Alcaligenaceae
Description: partial 16S-23S ribosomal RNA intergenic spacer
Rfam family: Bacterial small subunit ribosomal RNA
Source: RNAcentral